Molecule: long non-coding RNA, 867 nt
Organism: Benincasa hispida (wax gourd)
Lineage: Eukaryota; Viridiplantae; Streptophyta; Magnoliopsida; Cucurbitales; Cucurbitaceae
Source: RefSeq, a predicted model, not a curated record
CGUUGAAAUUGGAUCAUUCAAACAAAAAUCUCUCUGACAUGAUUUAAAAAAGUCAAAUAAAUUGUGGGUAGAAAGUGCAAUGUGACCGAGUAAAGGAGAUUGAGAUUCGAGAAAGACUCACAUCGGCUAAGCAAGCAACAGAGGAACCUCAGAUUGUACGAUAAAUACAAGACAAAUCCCAACCUUUUAGACAUACUUACCUGGACGGGGUCAAUGGGUGAUCAGCUAGUUCCAUGGCCUAGGUUGGUGACCCCCACUGCACAUACCGGAGGGUUGCCCGCCUAAGGUCUGCCCAAAGUGGUAGCUCCUACGUCAUAAUUUGUGGUAGUGGGGCCUGCGUUCGCGCGGCCCCAACCCAAUUCCUCAGUUCAUCAAUGUCGUUAAUGUCUUCCUCUCUUUCCAGGUUCAGACUUGGAAUCUAUAUUCUCCAUCAUGUCUAUAUCGAGAUGGAAGUGAAAAACAUGUUAGAAUGUAGAAGAAGUUAUAUUAGUAAUUGUGCAUGCUUUAUAUUCUGUCUGAUCUUUCAUGAUACAUAGGACUUUCAUGAUACAUAUGUUCCUGAAAGAAUUCAACCGAUAAUUGAAGAGAUGUUCAUGCUAGAUUCGUAUAUUGGUUGGAUGCAUUUUAGGGAUAAGAUCAGCAAGAUCAAUUCCUUGAAUCUAGAAGAUCAAAUAGGGGAGGAUAUGGCGCUUCCAGCCUUCCGUUAAAGAUGGUUUUUCGCAAGCCUUCCAUUUUGUCUGAUGUAUUUUCUUUUUCGUUGAACUAAAGUUUAUUGGAUGUUUUGCGAGUGGUGCUUGUGAAAGAAAUUAUGUACUACUUUGUUGAAAUCUUUUAAAAGCAAAAAUCAAAAGCAUUUCCAAACUCAUA